UGGGGAAUAUUGGUCAAUGGGCGAAAGCCUGAACCAGCGAUUCUGCGUGAAGGAUGAAGCAUUACGGUGUGUAAACUUCUUUUUUGGGGGAAGACGAAUGACGGUACCCCACGAAUAAGGGACGGCUAACUACGUGCCAGCAGCCGCGGUAAUACGUAGGUCCCAAGCGUUAUCCGGAAUUACUGGGCGUAAAGAGUCUGUAGUUGGUCUUACAAGUCUACUUUCAAAUACCUCGGCUUAACCAAGGAAAGGGAGUGGAUACUGUAAGUCUGGAAGUUUUCAGGGGUAAGUAGAAUUUCCGGUGGAGAGGUGAAAUUCGUUGAUAUCGGAAGGAAUGCCAAAAGCGAAAGCAGCUUACUAUGAAUAUCUUGACAAUGAGAGACGAAAGUCUGGGUAGCAA
This 400-nucleotide ribosomal RNA is filed under the name uncultured bacterium. Its description in RNAcentral is "bacterial SSU rRNA". It matches the Rfam family "Bacterial small subunit ribosomal RNA", at positions 355 to 771 of the family's 1533-position model. The record is from RNAcentral.